RNAcentral lists this ribosomal RNA (445 nucleotides) under uncultured bacterium. RNAcentral's name for it is "partial 16S ribosomal RNA". It matches the Rfam family "Bacterial small subunit ribosomal RNA", at positions 354 to 796 of the family's 1533-position model. The record is from RNAcentral.
GUGAGGAAUAUUGGUCAAUGGGCGAGAGCCUGAACCAGCCAAGUAGCGUGAGGGAUGACUGUCCUAUGGGUUGUAAACCUCUUUUGCAGGGGGGUAAAGUGGUCCACGUGUGGAUCAUUGCAAGUACCCUGCGAAUAAGGAUCGGCUAACUCCGUGCCAGCAGCCGCGGUAAUACGGAGGAUCCGAGCGUUAUCCGGAUUUAUUGGGUUUAAAGGGAGCGUAGGCGGGGGUUUAAGUCAGCUGUGAAAUGCCGUGGCCCAACCAUGGAACUGCAGUUGAAACUGGACCUCUUGAGAGUACAUAAGGAAGGCGGAAUUCGUGGUGUAGCGGUGAAAUGCAUAGAUAUCACGAAGAACUCCGAUUGCGAAGGCAGCUUUCCGGGGUACAUCUGACGCUGAAGCUCGAAAGUGCGGGAAUCAAACAGGAUUAGAAACCCCGGUAGUCC